RNAcentral lists this unclassified non-coding RNA (242 nucleotides) under Hevea brasiliensis (rubber tree). Lineage: Eukaryota; Viridiplantae; Streptophyta; Magnoliopsida; Malpighiales; Euphorbiaceae. The record is from RNAcentral.
UGAAGCUACUACUUUCAAUAAAUUUUCACAUACGAAUUCACUACAAUUGUAAUAAAUAAUAGGUCUGAACCUAUAAUUGAAUUGGAAGUUAUUAACUUACGGAACGAAUUCAUUGAGCUUAAAUUCUAGAUCCGUCUCGCCUCGUAUUCUGCGCUAAUUCAACCUUCAGCCCAGAAAACUUGUUGUAUAAGAUCAGAAACAGAGCCAUUAUUCACAUGAAAAAAACAAUUGAUCUAUCUCGA